UACAGAGGUCUCAAGCGUUGUUCGGAUUCAUUGGGCGUAAAGGGUGCGUAGGCGGCAAGGCAAGUCAGGUGUGAAAUCCCGGAGCUCAACUCCGGAACUGCACUUGAUACUGCCCUGCUAGAGUACUGGAGAGGAGACUGGAAUUUACGGUGUAGCAGUGAAAUGCGUAGAUAUCGUAAGGAAGACCAGUGGCGAAGGCGAGUCUCUGGACAGUUACUGACGCUGAGGCCCGAAGGCCAGGGGAGCAAACGGG
This 253-nucleotide ribosomal RNA is filed under the name uncultured bacterium. RNAcentral describes it as "partial 16S ribosomal RNA". It matches the Rfam family "Bacterial small subunit ribosomal RNA", at positions 524 to 776 of the family's 1533-position model. The record is from RNAcentral.